This 118-nucleotide non-coding RNA is filed under the name Asterionellopsis glacialis. The record is from RNAcentral. Lineage: Eukaryota; Bacillariophyta; Plagiogrammaphyceae; Rhaphoneidales; Asterionellopsidaceae.
CACCCGAACUUCAACUUGAUGCAGAUGGAGCUGUCCUUCAAACAGCUAUCAGUGAAGGAUCUGGAGUGAAUUCACCCAUGUCUAAUGGAAUGGCUACACCACGAACAUUAGAUAUGAA